Oryzias melastigma (Indian medaka) is the source of this 225-nucleotide long non-coding RNA. RefSeq lists it as uncharacterized. NCBI's taxonomy places the organism in Eukaryota, Metazoa, Chordata, Actinopteri, Beloniformes, Adrianichthyidae. The transcript is spliced from 2 exons. The record is from RefSeq and is a predicted model, not a curated record.
AAAAGUCCCUGUUAUUCUGUGGGACUACAUUACCCAGAAUUCCUAGCCGUCAUGUGACGAGCGCGGAGGGAUACAGUUCCCACUCAUGCUCUACGUAGCUCACGAAGCCAUGCGGUGAAUCUGGGUUGUUGAGACUGGUGUGCGUCAUAUAAAUAAACCACACCCACAUUCAAACCCAGUCUGUAAACCGAUGUUUUCGCCAAUUAAAGGCAGUUCUUUGCAACC